GGCCGGUCGGGUGCGGUCGGACCGGGCCGGUUCGGCCCAAAGUGGCCGGGAUGGUCCGGUUUACCCUUUUUUUUUUCUUUUAGACCUUUUCUUUUUCUGUUUUUCUCAUUUAUUUGAUAUCUUUUGAGUUUGAUCCCCAAAUUGGUCCAAAUAAAUUUCAAAAAAUUUGUAGAAUCAUGUUCUACCAAGAUACAACUUUUGGAAGUAGUUUCCCCUCAAAAUAAAAUAUAUAAAAAUAUAUUUGCCCUAUAAAUGCCUUUAGGGCUAUAUAUCUAUUUGAAUAAAAUACUUUUUCAACUCCAAAUAAUUAACCAAAAAUUAUGGGAUAGCUUAUAUAUGCAUUA
RNAcentral lists this long non-coding RNA (344 nucleotides) under Brachypodium distachyon (stiff brome). Its description in RNAcentral is "long non-coding RNA (BDIS_LNC000592)". The record is from RNAcentral. Lineage: Eukaryota; Viridiplantae; Streptophyta; Magnoliopsida; Poales; Poaceae.